RNAcentral lists this non-coding RNA (31 nucleotides) under Rattus norvegicus (Norway rat). Lineage: Eukaryota; Metazoa; Chordata; Mammalia; Rodentia; Muridae. The record is from RNAcentral.
UGACUUGGUGGCUGUACUGCAUCCUAUCUGU